UGGCUCAUGGUGACUGGUGUCCUCAGUAUGUGACUCAUGACUUCUGUGGUUGACACUGGGUCGGGUUAUUAUCUGUUCUGUACUCACUACUUCACUCGCACAUGGCAGCUCGAUCUUCACCAAAUCAACUGGAACUGGCUCUGAAAUAUAUAUACCAUCACCAUUAGGGGCAAUCCAUAAAGUACAGAUGCAUAAAAUCUGUGAUUUUUACACACACACACACAUACAAAGUACAUUUUUUUAAUGUUCGAUCAUUACCCUCCUCCACUCUCAAAAGUACAUAGGAUAUAAUUAGUAGCAAGGAUUGCAUACAUUUUACACCAAUAAUUUGGCAUAUUUACUGUCCGCAAAACUCCCCUCCCCUUGUACACUCUUUGUACAAAAUGCCCAUCCACUUCCUUCCCUCUGGGCAUACAUACUUUAUAGAUGGCCCCUUAGGUACUAAUAUUUUUGGCAACAAUCAUUGUAAUAUAACUUGGCUUCAUUUCAUAAUAGUAUCAUUGUUGUAUGUGAAGUGGCACGCUAUUGGGCCAAAUAAGGAAAAUCCAAGGGUCUGUGCAUUCAUCUCUGUAAUGCUGCCAAAAAAAAACAUGAUUUUGAAGUUCAAAGUAAGUAGCAUGUUGACAUGAUAUAUGUGAAUAAAUUACAGUGUUUGGCAAUUAGUUUAUUUUGAUAUUUUAUUUUUAAUGAUUUUUUUUUCUGCUGACAAUGUUUGGGGUCAACUUAAUUGAAAACAAUGAUCAAAAUAAAAUGUUUGCUUCUAGUGUAAUAGUAAAAGAGCCAGUAAUUGAUUGUGUGAUUAUUUUUUAUGCUAUCAUUUUUAUACAGUGAAUUAGUUAAAAAUCAUUGUUGUUUGUUACCACUGUCGUCCAAUAUGAGCACGACCUUUGUACCUCAUAAUCGUGUCUUUGUUUGUUUACUUCUACCCUUCAGUGUGUAGAAUCGGACCAUGCAACUCCUUACAAGAAGAACACACUCAACAAAGCUGUCUGGCGGAUGAAGAAAGCAAUGCCAACUGACAAGGGGAAAUUUGUGCAAGUGUUUGGAACCGUGCAACUCCAUGCACUCGUCUUUUUCACCAAAGAUUGGGCAUUGGAGCAAAGUCUAGAAAGAGGAUAAAUUUUCUUGUCACUUCAGUGUCCUCACUCAGGGAAGGCGUCCUUGUGCUCAGACGAAAAAGUACUCUUACUCAGAAAGCAAAGUUUUAGGACUUAAUUAUAAACUAAAGAAGGCACAAAAAGCUUUGACUUAAAUGCCCGAAAAACCCCAGAAAAGAUGCACUGUCAUCACAGAUGAUCCAAAAGGUGGAGCAGUUUUACAGGAGGAGUGACAUUUCUCGUACUCGGCCAGAUGCGCGGAGCACAAAGAAAGCAUCCAAGAAUGUGUAUCUUGUGGCAAGAUUCAGGCAGAAAAAUCCACAUAACAGCCAUUUCGAAGACAAAAUUCAGACAGUUGAGACUGGAGGAUAUCUUGCUUUCAACACGCACAAGAAGACAAAACUGCUUCUGUUAUUAUUGUGCAAAUGUUGGUCUCAAACUAGAGGGCAUUGGUUGCUUUGCAGCAUCUCAGCAUCUACAAGAUCUGACGUAUAAGGAUAGAUAUGACCUGUACAGGUCAACUCUGUCCAAGAGGGGAGGAUGGCGAGUACGAGAUGGCAUGCCUUGAAAGGAAAUGUACAGCCUGGGGGACAUCUGCCAUUGAAAUCAAAUUACGUCCUCUAUUGGAGACCCACAUUGAACACCAAGUGGUUUUCUUCAAGUGGGAGAACAUUACCUACGUACACAAAGGUGUCACCAAGAAGAAGCUGGCUAGGCAGAGGAAAACCCUACUGGCUCUUGAUUUCGUGGCAGAACUGAUAGAAGAGGCAGCCAGCAUCUCAAAACACCUCAUCAAUGCCAGAUGGCAAGAAAAACAGUAUGAUGCAAGUCUCCAGUGAUGUACCAGCAGGCUGGGUCGUCAUCUGCCAGGAUUUUGCUGAUAAUUAUUCUUGCUGGUAUCAGGCUCAGGGAGCAAAUUGGGGACACGAUACGGUGACACUUCAUGCCAAUGUUGCCUCAUACAGGUGCCCCGAAGAUGACUGUUACCUAAUGACUAAUCAUUCAUUAAUGUUUGUGAGCAAUGACCUGAAGCAUUGCCAUGAUGCUGUCCAUACUUUCAACUUGGCAACAAUGGAUUUUCUAACUCACCUUGGCAUCUCGAUAUAUAUAUAUAUAUUUUUUUUUUUUCUGAUGAAGCACCUAUGCAGUACAAAAACAAGUCUGCCUUCUGCGAUAUGGUUCUGAAGACUUUGGGGUUCAUUGUGAACAAAAACAUGACAAAGGACCUGGGGUUCAUUGUGAACAAAAACAUGACAAAGGACCAUGUGAGUUUGGCACACUAAAAAAGGCUAUUAAUCAGUGUGUGAAGGAAAGAAGAGCCGAAAUUGGCAGUGCUGCACAAUUCUUCUCAUACUGCCAUGAUCAUCUGAGCAAAGAAGAUGGUCACGUCCAAAUACAAGAGAUCUUUCUUCUUCACUUAAAUUUGCGGACAUUAAAAGGAACCAAAAGAGGGCGAGUAAUCUGAAGCCUCUACCACAGACAAGACAGUGAAGCCAUACGUCAUCAGCAACAGAGAGAGGAGCUGCUUCUGUCAUGUGUGCACAGAGAGGGAGGAAGGCAGCUGCCAAUAUGCAGACAUUACUGGGGAAUGUAAGCAGGAUGUUGAUGCAAAUACAAGUCUUGUUUACAUGCCCUGUUGCUUAGCCAGUUCCUGUCACUCCUGCAGACGACAAUCUCACUCCAACAGACGACCACUUUGAAAAGGAUGACCCUCCUGCUGACAACUCUCGUCAAGAAAUUAGCAACCCACCUGAUGAUGAUCGCCCUGAAAAGACUGGCAACCUUUCUGUGCACAAUCCUGGAGAAAGCCUACAACUUGUGAUUGAUGUUGCAGCCAUCAAACCAGCAGAAUCCAGCAAGAACAAUCCACUGCUGUUUUUCAUUGGAACUGGAACUGGAACAGAUUUACACAGCCUAUUUUGGACUAGCACAAGUGUAACUAAAUUCAUUUACAAUUUGGUUAACCAUGUGCAUUUAAGAAAAACAAGUCUUGGUAAAUUCAGCCCAGUUUUUAACUAAAAAGUCAGUUUUAAGAUAUUAAAUGUGCACUGAUCACUUUAUGCAAGGAAACAAUUGCAAAAUAAUCAAGUCUAGUUCCGCAUGUCUAUUCAUAUAAAACAAAAAUAAAAACGGUUUCUGAUAAAUAGCUGCAAUUUGUUUCUGUGGUCCAUUUCAAGACAUUGAUUGAUCUCUUUUCAUUUCAUUUCUCCAAACUGACAGAGAUGAAGUCAAAGUCCAGGUUUUGAAGAAGAGGGGCAACUACUACAGCUUUCCUGAACUUGAUAAUGUGUUCUGGGUUCCAUCGAAAGAUGUUCAGUCACUGAAGCCACCAACAAUUAAUGCAAACAGCCAAUAUUUCUUUCAGGGACUGAUUGUUAUAAGAUUAAUUCAAAAGCAGUCAAACUGAAAUAAAACUGAAGAAUGUUUCACAUUUUGUUGUCAUAUUUCUGGAUUAUGUUGUUCAUUUUUACCGAUGAUGAUUUUGG
Gigantopelta aegis is the source of this 3583-nucleotide long non-coding RNA. RefSeq lists it as uncharacterized. The transcript is spliced from 3 exons. Lineage: Eukaryota; Metazoa; Mollusca; Gastropoda; Neomphalida; Peltospiridae. The record is from RefSeq and is a predicted model, not a curated record.